GAGACACCCCUCCGGGGAAAAAUUUGCUUCAGUGGGGCUUUGGUGCUCACUGAAUAUCCCCCCUGAGUGUGUCUUU
Molecule: non-coding RNA, 76 nt
Organism: Myotis davidii
Lineage: Eukaryota; Metazoa; Chordata; Mammalia; Chiroptera; Vespertilionidae
Source: Rfam